Zingiber officinale is the source of this 2161-nucleotide RNA transcript. It is a transcript of the gene named serine/arginine-rich-splicing factor SR34-like, with no coding region annotated. Lineage: Eukaryota; Viridiplantae; Streptophyta; Magnoliopsida; Zingiberales; Zingiberaceae. The record is from RefSeq and is a predicted model, not a curated record. The transcript has 15 exons.
CUCUCCAAACUGUGACCACCCGUGCGAAUACAAAUGUGCGACAUAAAUUAAUACCGUCCGCAGGCCCGCUUCCUCGUCGAAACCCUCGAAGCCCCAAAACCGAACGCUUGUACCUGGUCCACACCGAGCGGGCGAGCGGAACCGACUCUUCUAUCGCCGAGGAAUCAUGAGUAAGCGAUACAGUCGAACCAUCUACGUCGGCAAUCUCCCAGGGGACAUACGUGAAAGAGAGGUGGAAGAUCUGUUCCACAAGUAUGGACCAAUUAUUGAUAUUGAUCUGAAGAUUCCUCCAAGGCCUCCAGGUUAUGCAUUUAUUGAGUUUGAAGAUCCUCGUGAUGCUGAAGAUGCUAUUCGUGGUCGUGAUGGAUAUACUUUUGAUGGUCACAAAUUACGGGUGGAACUUGCUCAUGGCGGAAGGAACCAAUCGUCAUCACUUGAUAGGCAUAGAAGCUACAACAGUGGAGGUCAUCGCGGUGGUGUUUCCAGGCGCACCGAGUAUCGUGUUAUGGUCACUGGUUUACCUUCCUCGGCAUCAUGGCAAGACUUGAAGGAUCACAUGCGCCGAGCUGGUGAUGUCUGCUUUUCUGAAGUUUUUCGCAAUGGGCGAGGUACUCAUGGGAUUGUAGAUUAUACAAACUAUGAUGACAUGAAGUAUGCAAUUAAGAAGCUUGAUGACUCUGAGUUCCGGAAUGCAUUUUCACGGGCAUAUAUAAGAGUGAAGCAGUAUGAUUCGGAGAGAAGCUUGUCUAGGAGCCGAAGUCGUAGCCGCUCUUAUUCAAGAAGUGUAAGUCCAGCCGAUGGUAGGAGCCGCAGCCGAAGUCGAAGCAAGUCACCGAAGGCACAGUCAUCACGUCGUUCCUUGUCUGGUUCUCGGUCAAGAUCUGCAUCUUCUCGUUCUCGUAGCCGUUCAAUAUCAAGAUUUGGGCUUAAGCGGGAAUCUCUGGAUUGGAUAUUAGGAUCUGGAUUGGAUAUGAUGGAAAUGCUUGCAACUAUUUUGGUGUUGUAAGGUAUGCUGUUUCAUAGACGAGCAGUUUAUGAAACCUGCAGAACAUCUUGAUCUUUACCACUAACUGGGCUUUUCUGACAAGUGGGCCUCAUUGGGGGCAGAAAGGAAUGGUUGCAAUAACAAACUGGAUUACUCUAAGUGGAUUUGGCUUUGGACAAGUGCUAGGAACAACUUUUGCCACUCAUUCAUCAUCCAGUGCUAUAAGCGGCCCUCAGGAUUCUGGGUGUAGUUUCCUUGGCAGAGUUGGGCGCUGAGGCUCUGAAUGCGCUAGCAAUCGGCACAUUAGGGGAGUGCUUGCCCGGGUUCUCAGCCUGGUAUCCUGCACCUCACGGUCAUGAUAUUUAUAGUCAUGAUAGUUUUUAGGUUAAAUGUUGUCAAAUAAGUACUUGAAAAUUUGUUGCUGGCACCAACUAUAUCUCAUCAACGAGCGGAAUGUUUUUAAAAUAAGAAUUCAAUACUUUAAAAGAAGUUUGGGCCCUUUAUUCUGCUUCCCGAAUGUAUUCUGAUGCGGAAAAGACAGGCUUUUGAAUUAAGUUAAACAGCAAUAUGGAAAUUGAAUUCAGUUUUCUGGAACUUUUUGCAGAUCUCCAGUAAGAUCCAGAUCUCCAGUUACUUCUGUAAGUUAGAAUUAUAGUCUUAAUUAUCCUUUCCCUUUACUUGUUCGACUAAACUGUAUGCAUGUAGCCCCGUAAUGGCAAACCUGCAAGUAAAAGCCCUAGCGAGCAAACUCCUAGCAGCAGCCGAAGCUUAUCUCCACCUCAUAAUGACAAGCUUGCAAAUAAAAGUCCUACUAAACACAGUCCUAACAGUACCCGGAGCUUAUCUCCUGUUACUUCUCCCCGUGAUGUCAAACCUGCAAGUAAAAACACUGUUAGGAGCCAGAACGCAUCUCCAUCUUCCUCACCUGAGGCAAGAUCUGAUUAGAAUGCCCAGUACUCGUUAAGGUGAAGUUAUGUGGAAGGAACACGCUGAUGCUGAUUUUAAAGUUUUUUAAGUAUCGGAUUAGCGGCAAUACUGUCUGGCCAUGGACUUUCUGUUUGCCGUUGUACUCUUAUCUAAUAUGCACUGUUUGGUCAUCCGUAGACACCGAGACUUGAGUUUGAAUGUUCCUGACUUGUAUACUCUUAUUAUUGAAUUUUAAAAUGUUUAUUAUAA